GUUAUUCAAGUCAAAUUCAAGUGUGGUGCCCAAUUUGUUCCAUGUGCCUAGCCUAUUCUCCAAACUUAGCGGACAAGGAGGAAGAUUGCUAUAUUUUCAGGGAAGUCCUCAGCUUUACUUUUUUCUAUUUCAGCCAUUGAGGACAAUGUCUAGUUUAAGUUUGGGGGCAUUUUAGUGUCGUACUGCAUAUAGUUAGUUAUUUGCAUUGUAGUUCGUUAUUUUUGUGUUAGCAUUGUUUUUUUUAGGUUGCAUAUAAUACAUGGUAGUUAAUUGCAUAUGCAUACAUAGGUUAUAUUAGUAUGUGUUCAUGUAGUAUAAUUGCAUUUUUAUUUUUAUUUUUUUUGCAUGAAUCUGUGCGAUUAGUUGGUGUGGUCUUAGCUCGGCCUAUGAUAAGAUUGGUAUUAAUUGUUAACUUAAACAGUGUUGAUAAUUGAUAAUGAGUUCUAAUUUUAAACAUGAAGAAAAUCUGAGCCUGUCUGAAACUUAUGUAAUCGGUUAGCACUUAAAGUUUAACUGUUUUAAUCUACUUGGUUCAAGGGUUUCAUAAUUUGUUUUUAAGGAAAAAUCUUGGUUAAAAUUUAAGGAAAUUAGUGAACUGGCGGUAAAGGUUGGAAUGACGUAAAAGCUUGAGUUUGGGGGAAUCUAUGGGAUAUAUA
This 656-nucleotide long non-coding RNA is filed under the name Panax ginseng (ginseng). RNAcentral describes it as "long non-coding RNA (PGIN_LNC017154)". Lineage: Eukaryota; Viridiplantae; Streptophyta; Magnoliopsida; Apiales; Araliaceae. The record is from RNAcentral.